RNAcentral lists this long non-coding RNA (278 nucleotides) under Nicotiana benthamiana. RNAcentral describes it as "long non-coding RNA (NBEN_LNC040927)". Lineage: Eukaryota; Viridiplantae; Streptophyta; Magnoliopsida; Solanales; Solanaceae. The record is from RNAcentral.
AUGCUGCAGGUUAAUAAUAAUCGCACAUGUAACCAUAUCAUAGAUGCAUCAUAUGUGGUAUACAUGGCAGGCGAAUGGGCCCAUAUUCACCUUUGAUAUCUCCAGAAUUCAUGGGAUUUAACCCCAACUUUAGUUGGUUUAUUAAUUAAUGAGAACAAGACAAUAUAAGAGAAUCCGUAAAGAACUUUCUAGUUCUUUAAUAUUUACCUAUAUAAAUUCUCGUUUAUUUUGCACAUCAUACUUUAAUUAAUAUGACUAAACCAGCUAUGUCAACUGGA